This 305-nucleotide ribosomal RNA is filed under the name uncultured Pseudomonas sp. RNAcentral's name for it is "bacterial SSU rRNA". It matches the Rfam family "Bacterial small subunit ribosomal RNA", at positions 1080 to 1384 of the family's 1533-position model. The record is from RNAcentral. Lineage: Bacteria; Pseudomonadati; Pseudomonadota; Gammaproteobacteria; Pseudomonadales; Pseudomonadaceae.
UUAAGUCCCGUAACGAGCGCAACCCUUGUCCUUAGUUACCAGCACGUAUGUGGGCACUCUAAGGAGACUGCCGGUGACAAACCGGAGGAAGGUGGGGGAGUGACGUCAAGUCAUCAUGGCCCUUACGGCCUGGGCUACACACGUGCUACAAUGGUCGGUACAAAGGGUUGCCAAGCCGCGAGGUGGAGCUAAUCCCAUAAAACCGAUCGUAGUCCGGAUCGCAGUCUGCAACUCGACUGCGUGAAGUCGGAAUCGCUAGUAAUCGUGAAUCAGAAUGUCACGGUGAAUACGUUCCCGGGCCUUGU